This 253-nucleotide ribosomal RNA is filed under the name uncultured bacterium. Its description in RNAcentral is "partial 16S ribosomal RNA". It matches the Rfam family "Bacterial small subunit ribosomal RNA", at positions 524 to 776 of the family's 1533-position model. The record is from RNAcentral.
UACGAAGGGUGCAAGCGUUAUUCGGAAUUACUGGGCGUAAAGCGCGCGUAGGUGGUUCAGUAAGUUGGAAGUGAAAUCCCCGGGCUCAACCUGGGAACUGCUUUCAAAACUGCUGAGCUAGAGUACGGUAGAGGGUGGUGGAAUUUCCUGUGUAGCGGUGAAAUGCGUAGAUAUAGGAAGGAACACCAGUGGCGAAGGCGACCACCUGGACUGAUACUGACACUGAGGUGCGAAAGCGUGGGGAGCAAACAGG